Long non-coding RNA from Myotis brandtii (Brandt's bat), 256 nucleotides. RefSeq lists it as uncharacterized. The transcript is spliced from 2 exons. The record is from RefSeq and is a predicted model, not a curated record. NCBI's taxonomy places the organism in Eukaryota, Metazoa, Chordata, Mammalia, Chiroptera, Vespertilionidae.
GGCUGAGCUCAGGGAACUUCACCCCUUUUAGGAGGAGAGAGAUGCUGAGACACCCGGCCACACACUCAACCUCAAGAGUGAGGCGAGAUCCCAGGCGGGCACUAGAUAAGAAAACUAGCUCUGAAGAGGUGGCCAUGAUCACCCAGAAAGUAAGAAAUGAAGCCAGAAUUCUGUACUACAUUGCUUGGCUCAAGGAUGCAGGCCCAUGGUGGAUAGAGCCGGGGUCUUAUUCAUUAAAUGUACGCUAGAUACUGAA